Molecule: transfer RNA, 73 nt
Filed under: Luteococcus sanguinis
Lineage: Bacteria; Bacillati; Actinomycetota; Actinomycetes; Propionibacteriales; Propionibacteriaceae
Also listed under: 2 other names
Description: tRNA-Thr
Rfam family: tRNA
About the family: Transfer RNA (tRNA) molecules are approximately 80 nucleotides in length. Their secondary structure includes four short double-helical elements and three loops (D, anti-codon, and T loops).
Source: RNAcentral
GCCCCUAUAGCUCAGUAGGUAGAGCGUCUCCAUGGUAAGGAGAAGGUCAGCAGUUCGAUUCUGCUUGGGGGCU